Molecule: transfer RNA, 32 nt
Filed under: Myodes glareolus (Bank vole)
Lineage: Eukaryota; Metazoa; Chordata; Mammalia; Rodentia; Cricetidae
Description: partial tRNA-Met
Source: RNAcentral
CGAAAAUGUUGGUUUAAACCCUUCCCGUACUA